This 75-nucleotide small RNA is filed under the name Xanthomonas codiaei. Its description in RNAcentral is "sX9 sRNA". It matches the Rfam family "Xanthomonas sRNA sX9". The record is from RNAcentral. Lineage: Bacteria; Pseudomonadati; Pseudomonadota; Gammaproteobacteria; Lysobacterales; Lysobacteraceae.
AUGUACCGCUCGUACACUCCGGCCCCGCGCGCCGUCCGUGCCCAUCCGGCGACUGCCCGUCAUCGUGUGUUGGCC